AACGAACGCUGGCGGCAUGCCUAACACAUGCAAGUCGAACGAGACCUUCGGGUCUAGUGGUGCACGGGUGCGUAACGCGUGGGAACCUUCCCUUAGGUUCGGAAUAACUCCCCGAAAGGGGUGCUAAUACCGGAUAAUGUCUUCGGACCAAAGAUUUAUCGCCUUUGGAUGGGCCCGCGUUGGAUUAGCUAGUUGGUAGGGUAAAAGCCUACCAAGGCGACGAUCCAUAGCUGGUCUGAGAGGAUGAUCAGCCACACUGGGACUGAGACACGGCCCAGACUCCUACGGGAGGCAGCAGUGGGGAAUAUUGGACAAUGGGCGAAAGCCUGAGCCAGCAAUGCCGCGUGAGUGAUGAAGGCCUUAGGGUUGUAAAGCUCUUUUACCCGGGAUGAUAAUGACAGUACCGGGAGAAUAAGCUCCGGCUAACUCCGUG
RNAcentral lists this ribosomal RNA (433 nucleotides) under uncultured bacterium. RNAcentral describes it as "partial 16S ribosomal RNA". It matches the Rfam family "Bacterial small subunit ribosomal RNA", at positions 29 to 507 of the family's 1533-position model. The record is from RNAcentral.